Molecule: ribosomal RNA, 253 nt
Filed under: uncultured bacterium
Lineage: Bacteria
Description: partial 16S ribosomal RNA
Rfam family: Bacterial small subunit ribosomal RNA
Source: RNAcentral
UACGGAGGGUGCGAGCGUUAAUCGGAAUUACUGGGCGUAAAGCGCGCGUAGGCGGUUUGCUAAGCUAGAUGUGAAAUCCCCGGGCUUAACCUGGGAACUGCAUUUAGAACUGGCAGGCUAGAGUACAGUAGAGGAUGGUGGAAUUUCAGGUGUAGCGGUGAAAUGCGCAGAUAUCUGAAGGAACAUCAGUGGCGAAGGCGGCCAUCUGGACUGAUACUGACGCUGAGGUGCGAAAGCGUGGGGAGCAAACAGG